CCUACGGGCGACAGCAGUGAGGAAUAUUGGUCAAUGGGCGCGAGCCUGAACCAGCCAAGUAGCGUGAAGGAUGACUGCCCUACGGGUUGUAAACUUCUUUUAUAAAGGAAUAAAGUGAGGCACGUGUGCCUUUUUGUAUGUACUUUAUGAAUAAGGAUCGGCUAACUCCGUGCCAGCAGCCGCGGUAAUACGGAGGUUCCGAGCGUUAUCCGGAUUUAUUUGGUUUAAAGGGAGCGUAGAUGGGUUGUUAAGUCAGUUGUGAAAGUUUGCGGCUCCACCGUAAAAUUGCAAUUGAUACGGGCAGCCUUGAUUACAGUUGAGGUAGUCGGAAUUCGUGGUGUAGCGGUGAAAUGCUUAGAUAUCACG
RNAcentral lists this ribosomal RNA (366 nucleotides) under uncultured bacterium. RNAcentral's name for it is "partial 16S ribosomal RNA". It matches the Rfam family "Bacterial small subunit ribosomal RNA", at positions 338 to 701 of the family's 1533-position model. The record is from RNAcentral.